UAGGAUCCUUUAAAUAAGGUUAGAAAUGUGCAAAAACAGGGCACGGUCCAAUAAAGUCGAAAAGAUCAUAAGCGACACCUGAUCCACGAAAGUCGAUGCUCAAGCGUCUAGGGAGACCACCCGGGCAGUGAGAGCACCCCAUGUAAGGCCCGAGCUUCGAGUUUGGCCGCCCAAGCUUCGAGACCCGCCGCCUAGGCGGCUAGGGUCACUACCUAGGCAGUGGAUAUCGAUUCUCCACGCUUAAGCUUUCCUUCUGGUCACCUGGGCUUCGUGCUUUCCCUCCUUCUGGUGCCUUUUUAAGCCCUUCUGAGCUCCAUCUUCUUGGUUCUUCAUCUCUGCUUCCUGCAUUAGCUCAUUCUGUCAAAACAAGGGGAAUUAGUCAUAAAAUCAUUGAAAAAGUAUGAGUCCAAGCAAGUUUCUAAGUGAAAAAGGGUGCUUUUAGUAACAAAAUCAAAUCACAAAUGACGGUGUUUUAAACCUUUAUAAAAGUCGUAACAAGUUUUUGGCGCCGUUGUGUAACGCCCCGACAACUUACAGGGAAUAUUAAC
Molecule: long non-coding RNA, 548 nt
Filed under: Vigna radiata
Lineage: Eukaryota; Viridiplantae; Streptophyta; Magnoliopsida; Fabales; Fabaceae
Description: long non-coding RNA (VRAD_LNC018167)
Source: RNAcentral